AAGUCGUAACAAGGUUUCCGUAGGUGAACCUGCGGAAGGAUCAUUAACACGUAUCCAACGUUAAACCCCCCUGUGAACUUUUAUACUUGCUCUCGUGGCUACCGGAAUUGCAAUCCCUGGUAAAUCAUUGUUAGUUUCGAUCGAGCGAUCGUUGCAAGUGGCCUGGUUUCCCCAAGCAGUCAGUGUCUGAAAGUGUCAUUGAUUGUGUAAGGAUAACGCUUUUCGAUCACUAGAGGCCGACACCGGCCGGUGACCAGGUCGCCGUGGCUUCGGCCCCCUAUAUUCACCCCACUACCAAAUUUCGCCUCGUAGGAAACUGCUGGGCAACAAAACGAACAACUGUUAACAAUGGAUAUCUUGGUUCUC
This 366-nucleotide unclassified non-coding RNA is filed under the name fungal sp. RNAcentral describes it as "partial internal transcribed spacer region". The stretch from base 1 to 46 matches the Rfam family "Eukaryotic small subunit ribosomal RNA", at positions 1786 to 1831 of the family's 1831-position model. The record is from RNAcentral. Lineage: Eukaryota; Fungi.